UCGCACUAGACGGAGAGAUAGCGGUGCUCUGUAACCUGCAAUCCGCUAUAGCAGGGUUGAAUUCCUCAAAAAGGGUGGUUGAUUCUGGGUCUGCCAUCGGAAAGUGGUGUUGACGACCGGACCCUACGCAACAGAACCUCGGGAACCCCGUCAGGUCAGGAAUGAAGCAGCGGUAACCGGGACAUUCUGUGUGCCGAAGGACUCUCUGGUAAGAGCUAACUAUCGGUGUAACGCCGGAAGAGGUCAUUCGAUGCGAGGUGUGCGA
RNAcentral lists this signal recognition particle RNA (265 nucleotides) under Eubacteriaceae bacterium. RNAcentral describes it as "signal recognition particle sRNA large type". It matches the Rfam family "Bacterial large signal recognition particle RNA". Rfam says of the family: The signal recognition particle (SRP) is a universally conserved ribonucleoprotein involved in the co-translational targeting of proteins to membranes. Archaeal SRP consists of a 7S RNA and homologues of the eukaryotic SRP19 and SRP54 proteins. Lineage: Bacteria; Bacillati; Bacillota; Clostridia; Eubacteriales; Eubacteriaceae. The record is from RNAcentral.